UUGUACUUGACCUGGCAGCUGCUGACUCCGUCCUACCCCGGUUACACAGGGUUAGAGGAAUGUUAAUUACCCGAGGAUGCUGUGUCAUCCGCACAGUAUCCGGGAGAAAAUAACAAGGACAACUCCCUUCAUCUGAGAAAUACAGACAUUUAGCGAUAUAAGUGCCACGCUCAAAGGUACUGGUGUUGUGUGGGCACAUAUUUGGGCAGGAAUGUAGAUCCUCUUAUCCUACUACUAUAUGGGCAUCUGAUACAUAGAUGCACCCAGCCAGAGAGUGCUAACCCUGUGCCCUACUGCAGGAGGGGUCUCAGCAAGCAUCUGUUCUUGUCGCAGAAUCUGCGACAUGGAUAAAAUUCUAUCUCUGCAUCUUACAGGUAUUAAAAUCCAGUUCCCUGCGUGCAUGCUCCAGUUUAAGUGGAUGGCUGAUUCUAUCCCGUCAUCCUGAACUUUGUAGCUUCCUUUAAGAGAUGAUAAAUUAGGGAACAAAAGGAUCUUCCUUUCCGUGACAGCAGCACUUUCGGGAGGCUGAGCAUGUACCUCUGACUCAAGGCUGAGUUAUUAUAAGAAAAACAGAAAAGGAAGGAAGAAGGUUUUAAUUUCCCACUGUUGAAGACAGUUUGUCAGGAUGAGAGACAGACAGACAGAGCGUGCACAGACCUGCACUUCUCUUCGGGGAUGAAUAGGGCAAGUGUUUCAUUCAUGACGUCUUCAAAGCGUUGCCCGGAAUGCAAAAUGACAUGGUUUUUCUGGAAUACUAGUCUGUUUGAAAGGCCAAGGAAAGGUGAUACAUUUUGAAUGCACAUUUGGGUGACUUCAGGGUCUCCUUCUAUAACCAGAAUGGAGAUGUCCCUGAAAGGCUGUCAACAGAGAAAAAAAGAAUUCUGGUUAAAAUUCCAUUAUUCCAGUUUUUUUUUUGUUGUUGUUGUUUUUUUUUUUUGCCUGCGUUGUGUAAUUGAAGAUGUCUUCCAAGCAGAAACAGACCCUUGUUUCAUGUGGAAAAAAAAAUACAUAGACUAAUAGACUACAGAGAAAUAGAGGUAAAAAGAAGAUUGCUGCCACUUCCCAGUUAAGGAAUGCGUUGCUUUCACCCACCGUGGUCCCUGCUGCCUGUGACUCCAACACAAGAAUCAAUCCAUCUGUCUUUCUGCCACCACAGACAUCUCCCUAAAUUGAUCUAAUCUUGUGUCUAUUCUUAAAAUUCUUCGGAUUGCUUCUUGUUAAUAGAUAAUUGAAGUUCAGUAGUACAGUCUUUCCAUCUCCCUUUCCUUCCUGAUUGUCAAAUCACUUUGACCCAAUAAAUCUCACUUAAUUUUUUAAUUGUAUGGGAAUUUAAAAAUGGCACAUGUUUUAUCAUAUGCCUGGGCUGCUCUACCCAACUUUUCAAAGUUCUUUCCAUCCUUCAAAGUCUAGCUCAGCACCUACAUCUUCAAACGGUAAAACUUCUCUAAUUUUUUUGCAUGAAAUAAAUGUGCCUAUCCAAUCAGGAUGAGCCACUCAGAUGUGUGACUGAUGUCACACAGGGCUUCAAGCUCAGAAGAGCCCACCGGAUGAAUGGUUUAUUUCUCUGCUGUUGUCAUCUUGAAAUUUGAAGAAGGGGCCCAGCAUUUUCAUUUUGCACUGGACUCACAAACGAUAUAGCCAGUCCUGCCUCCAGUACUCCUAAAGUUAACAAUUUCAUAUCUCUGCUCCAAUAAUUCUCAUCCACAUUGUUGUUUUGAAGUUACCUUUGUAACUCCCACUAGAUUGGGAGCUCUAGGAAGCCACAGAUCUUAUUUGUUGAGUUUCUACAAGUGUGGGGAAGAGUAGUGUGCACAGAUUAAAGCUGCCAAUGGGAAGGUAAGAAUACUAUCAGAGUUCAUCAGAACAGAACUGAAAACAGCCAACAUCUCCUGAGAAUAGCAGUGCUAUGUUCUGAGUGUUUGUGUCCCCCCAAAAUUCAUGUGCUGAAAUCUAAUUCCCAACAUGUUGGUAUUAAGAGGUGGGGAAUUUGAGAGGUGAGUAGGUCAUGAGGGUGGAGCCCUCAUGGGUAGGAUUAGUGUUCUUAUGAAAGAGGCCUGACAGAGCAUAUGCCCUUUUACCACAUAGAAGGUGCCAUCUAUGAAGAACUAGCUCUCAGUAGACACCAAAUCUUCUGGCACCUUGAUCUUGGACUUCCCAGCCUCCAGAACUGUGAGCAAUAAGUUUCUGUUGUAUAUAAAUUACCCAGUCAAAGGUAUUUUGUUACAGCCGCCAGAAUGCAUUAAGACAAAUAGUAAAAAGAACAAAGAAGUUUUGCACACGUAGUAUGCACCAAGCACUGUGCUUUGCACUGCGCGAGAAAAUCCAACCUGGUUCUCACAACAUGAAGCAUAGGUACUAUAUUAUGGCUUCAGUUUCCAGAGGAAGAAACUAAGGCUUAGAGAGGGAAGGUGUCACACACUAAGCAGCAGUAGCAGGAGUCGCUGUCAGUUCUGGCUCCUAGGAAAUCAAUGAGUCUGUAUUCAUAAAUCAUAGAAAAUUGUGACAUUUUCAUGCAAUAAAAAACCUAAGAAUGUUCUUUAUAUAUAUACAUAUAUUUUUAUUAUACUUCGAGUUCUAGGGUACAUGUGCGCAACGUGCAGGUUUGUUACAUAUGUGUACAUAACAUUAGGUAUAUCUCCUAAUGCUAUCCCUUCCCCCUCCCCCCACCCCACAAC
Molecule: long non-coding RNA, 2675 nt
Filed under: Homo sapiens (human)
Lineage: Eukaryota; Metazoa; Chordata; Mammalia; Primates; Hominidae
Description: HSALNT0082294
Source: RNAcentral